Molecule: ribosomal RNA, 491 nt
Filed under: uncultured bacterium
Lineage: Bacteria
Description: partial 16S ribosomal RNA
Rfam family: Bacterial small subunit ribosomal RNA
Source: RNAcentral
AGUGAACGCUGGCGGUAGGCCUAACACAUGCAAGUCGAACGGCAGCACAGUAAGAGCUUGCUCUUACGGGUGGCGAGUGGCGGACGGGUGAGGAAUACAUCGGAAUCUACUUUUUCGUGGGGGAUAACGUAGGGAAACUUACGCUAAUACCGCAUACGACCUACGGGUGAAAGCAGGGGAUCUUCGGACCUUGCGCGAUUGAAUGAGCCGAGUCGGAUUAGCUAGUUGGCGGGGUAAAGGCCCACCAAGGCGACGAUCCGUAGCUGGUCUGAGAGGAUGAUCAGCCACACUGGAACUGAGACACGGUCCAGACUCCUACGGGAGGCAGCAGUGGGGAAUAUUGGACAAUGGGCGCAAGCCUGAUCCAGCCAUACCGCGUGGGUGAAGAAGGCCUUCGGGUUGUAAAGCCCUUUUGUUGGGAAAGAAAAGCAGCAGGUUAAUACCCCGCUGUUCUGACGGUACCCAAAGAAUAAGCACCGGCUAACUUCGUG